This 469-nucleotide ribosomal RNA is filed under the name uncultured bacterium. RNAcentral describes it as "partial 16S ribosomal RNA". It matches the Rfam family "Bacterial small subunit ribosomal RNA", at positions 28 to 508 of the family's 1533-position model. The record is from RNAcentral.
GACGAACGCUGGCGGCGUGCUUAACACAUGCAAGUCGAACGGAAAGGCCCUGCUUUUGUGGGGUGCUCGAGUGGCGAACGGGUGAGUAACACGUGAGUAACCUGCCCUUGACUUUGGGAUAACUUCAGGAAACUGGGGCUAAUACCGGAUAGGAGCUCCUGCUGCAUGGUGGGGGUUGGAAAGUUUCGGCGGUUGGGGAUGGACUCGCGGCUUAUCAGCUUGUUGGUGGGGUAGUGGCUUACCAAGGCUUUGACGGGUAGCCGGCCUGAGAGGGUGACCGGCCACAUUGGGACUGAGAUAAGGCCCAGACUCCUACGGGAGGGAGCAGUGGGGAAUAUUGCACAAUGGGCGGGAGCCUGAUGCAGCAACGCCGCGGGCGGGAUGACGGCCUUCGGGUUGUAAACCGCUUUCGCCUGUGACGAAGCGUGAGUGACGGUAAUGGGUAAAGAAGCACCGGCUAACUACGUGC